Unclassified non-coding RNA from Papio anubis (olive baboon), 117 nucleotides. It matches the Rfam family "Metazoan signal recognition particle RNA". From Rfam's summary of the family: The signal recognition particle (SRP) is a universally conserved ribonucleoprotein. It is involved in the co-translational targeting of proteins to membranes. The eukaryotic SRP consists of a 300-nucleotide 7S RNA and six proteins: SRPs 72, 68, 54, 19, 14, and 9. The record is from Ensembl. Lineage: Eukaryota; Metazoa; Chordata; Mammalia; Primates; Cercopithecidae.
GCCGGGUGUGGUGGCUCACGCCUGUAAUCCCUGCACUUUGGGAGGCAGAGGUGGGCGGAUCACCUGAGGUCAGGAGUUCCAGACCAGCCUGGCCAACAUGGUGAAACUCCAUCUCUA